This 440-nucleotide ribosomal RNA is filed under the name uncultured bacterium. RNAcentral's name for it is "partial 16S ribosomal RNA". It matches the Rfam family "Bacterial small subunit ribosomal RNA", at positions 338 to 795 of the family's 1533-position model. The record is from RNAcentral.
CCUACGGGAGGCAGCAGUGGGGAAUAUUGCACAAUGGGGGAAACCCUGAUGCAGCGACGCCGCGUGAGUGAUGAAGUUUUUCUGUAUGUAAAGCUCUGUCAUCAGGGACGAUAAUUACGGUACCUGCCUAAUCCGCUCCGGCUCAAUACGUUCCAGCCGACGCGGUAAUACGUAGGGAGCAAGCGUUAUCCGGAUUGACUGGGGGUAACGGGAGCGCAGACGGCAGGGCAAGUCUGAUGUGAAAGUCCGGGGCUCAACCCCGGGACUGCAUUGGAAACUGUCCGGCUAGAGUGCAGGAGAGGUAAGUGGAAUUCCUAGUGUAGCGGUGAAAUGCGUAGAUAUUAGGAGGAACACCAGUGGCGAAGGCGGCUUACUGGACUGUAACUGACGUUGAGGCUCGAAAGCGUGGGGAGCAAACAGGAUUAGAUACCCGGGUAGUC